Molecule: transfer RNA, 72 nt
Filed under: archaeon
Lineage: Archaea
Description: tRNA-Ala
Rfam family: tRNA
About the family: Transfer RNA (tRNA) molecules are approximately 80 nucleotides in length.
Source: RNAcentral
GGGCCUCUGGUCUAGUGGUAUGAUGCGUCCUUUGCAUGGAUGAGGUUACGGGUUCGAUUCCCGUGUGGUCCU